AAAGGGAGACCUAAUUCGGGUAUAAGACGAAAAAAUAGUAGUCGAAACCAAGAAUCAAUCCCAAAAGGUCGGAACGAGGUAUGUGGCUUUCAAACUAGGUUCUGGGUUCAUAAAAGACCUGAAUCAGGAACAAGGGCUAUUAGCUCAGGUGGUUAGAGCGCACCCCUGAUAAGGGUGAGGUCCCUGGUUCGAGUCCAGGAUGGCCCACCUGCACAGGUGGCAAAAAGAAAGAAAAGAAGCGAGGAAUCAGCACCUUAUCUUACUUAUAUAGUAAGAGAGAAUGCUGGCUCUGAGUACAGAGUCCAGAGGAACCUUGAAAACUGCAUAGAGCUAGGUGAAAAAGCCAAAAAAGAAGACCGCAAG
This 363-nucleotide transfer RNA is filed under the name uncultured Microcystis sp. RNAcentral's name for it is "partial 16S-23S ribosomal RNA intergenic spacer". The stretch from base 134 to 207 matches the Rfam family "tRNA". Lineage: Bacteria; Bacillati; Cyanobacteriota; Cyanophyceae; Chroococcales; Microcystaceae. The record is from RNAcentral.